RNAcentral lists this ribosomal RNA (497 nucleotides) under uncultured bacterium. RNAcentral describes it as "partial 16S ribosomal RNA". It matches the Rfam family "Bacterial small subunit ribosomal RNA", at positions 28 to 507 of the family's 1533-position model. The record is from RNAcentral.
GAUGAACGCUGGCGGCGUGCCUAAUACAUGCAAGUCGAGCGAACAGACGAGGAGCUUGCUCCUCUGACGUUAGCGGCGGACGGGUGAGUAACACGUGGAUAACCUACCUAUAAGACUGGGAUAACUUCGGGAAACCGGAGCUAAUACCGGAUAACAUGUUGAACCGCAUGGUUCAACAGUGAAAGACGGUCUUGCUGUCACUUAUAGAUGGAUCCCCGCCGCAUUAGCUAGUUGGUAAGGUAACGGCUUACCAAGGCAACGAUGCGUAGCCGACCUGAGAGGGUGAUCGGCCACACUGGAACUGAGACACGGUCCAGACUCCUACGGGAGGCAGCAGUAGGGAAUCUUCCGCAAUGGGCGAAAGCCUGACGGAGCAACGCCGCGUGAGUGAAGAAGGUCUUCGGAUCGUAAAACUCUGUUAUUAGGGAAGAACAAAUGUGUAAGUAACUAUGCACGUCUUGACGGUACCUAAUCAGAAAGCCACGGCUAACUACGUG